CACCGCGGUUAUACGAGGAGCCCAAGUUGACAGCCGCCGGCGUAAAGCGUGGUUAAGAUAACAUAAGUAUUAAAGCCGAACACAAGCUAUACUGUUAUACGCACUCGAAAAUGGAAGCUCAAUUACGAAAGUAGCUUUAUUGAUCUGACUCCACGAAAGCCAGGGCA
RNAcentral lists this ribosomal RNA (167 nucleotides) under Pseudanthias hiva. RNAcentral's name for it is "partial small subunit ribosomal RNA". The record is from RNAcentral. Lineage: Eukaryota; Metazoa; Chordata; Actinopteri; Perciformes; Anthiadidae.